CCGCCUUGGACCCGCUUGCACACGCACACACGCGCACAGGCAGGUCAUACCCCUUCCCCCUACGCACAAACGCACGCGCAGUGCGUGGCGCUCGUACGCCGUUUGGACAUGUCGCGCAACACGAAGGAGUUCAACAAGCAGGCCGACCGGUUUGUGGAGGAGUACAAGGAGCAGCGCAUCGCCUUGGAGCAGUGCCUGCGAUCCCGUAUCAACGAUGACAUCAACUUUGUGUGCCAGCGGCAGAAGUCCGCCUACCUCGAGGGCAUCGCCAAAAUCUUCUGCAAGAGGGAGUACGACGCUGGUGUGGUGUGCCAGAGGGCGGCAGGCGACCAGUGGGCCUCAGACUGUUUCAAGGAAAACGUGGCGUUUGGCCAGUGCACUGACCGCGUCCUGAAACAGUUGUACGUGUACAAUCUGGAGCACAACAAGAAGAACCCUGGCGCCAACUGACGGCCUCGCAGAUCCACCAAGAAGGGGUGGAGGGGAGGCGAGGGCGAACGGUGACUUCGCUUCCCCACGCCACUCCUGCCCUUCUUGCACCCACGCUACGAGAAGAGGCGGCGGUGUGCCCCGAAUCAUGCGCAAAGCAAGAGGACCCGCUCCCCCUCCCCCACCCAGUGCGAGAGCGGAACGUGAGGCUCUCUCUCUCAUGCACCUCGUCACGGCCUGUUCAAGGAGAGCGCGCUCCCUGGCUGUGCGCGCGCGUGUGCGUACUUGCGCAGCUUCCAUUCCUCUUUUGUUUGGUGUUGUGUGCGCCCAUCGGCCCUGAUGGUGCUUCGCUGAGAGUGAGCUCUGAUCACAGCAGGUGCGCUUUACGGGAAUGUGCGGACUCACUUGGUUGCCGUCCUUCAUCCAGGAGGAAGGGGGCGAGCGCUUAGGUUGGUGAGCCAGAGCGUGCGCGUCGCGAGUCUGUGCUCUCCCGUGUGCCCACGUUGCUCGCUCUCUCGCUCGUGGGUGUACGGGAGGAGGACGAGGAGUACCUGAUGGGGGAGGGGGCUCAGCUGCGGCUCAGUGCAGGAUGCGCCACGCCAUCACACACACACACAUAUACCAGGGCAUAUGCGCCUCGACGACU
RNAcentral lists this unclassified non-coding RNA (1075 nucleotides) under Leishmania donovani. RNAcentral's name for it is "gene:LdHU3.26.2820(CDS-product:hypothetical_prote in_conserved)". Lineage: Eukaryota; Euglenozoa; Kinetoplastea; Trypanosomatida; Trypanosomatidae. The record is from RNAcentral.